RNAcentral lists this long non-coding RNA (565 nucleotides) under Numida meleagris (helmeted guineafowl). RNAcentral describes it as "lncRNA (ENSNMEG00000020138.1)". The record is from RNAcentral. Lineage: Eukaryota; Metazoa; Chordata; Aves; Galliformes; Numididae.
CUAAGGCUUUGUUUAAUUGAAAGUUUAGUUCUUCUGGAGGCCUAAGGUGCUUAAGUUGAGGACUGAAGGGUGGAGCAGAGCUUCGUUUGCAGCCCCAGCUGCCACCUGGGAUGAGGAGUGAGAAGUGGCAGCAGGAACUGCAGCACUCUGCUAGCUUCCCUCUGCUCUGCUCUGGAUUAAAGCAGCUGGAAUUGGAGAAUAACAAGCAGAAUGAGGCUAUUAAAGAUGACAGAAGAAGAGAAACAAAACAUAAGCAUUUGGUGAGGAAGGUGCAAUGAAAGAUCAGGUAAUGCCAUUAGAGCAGGUUAUCAGGUAACUGACACUACUAGAUGUAGAGAUUUCUCAUCUGUUAGUAGUGAAACAACUUGGUUGCUCAAAAGCUGAACUCCCUGUUUAGUACCCACGUGCAAAAAGAAUUUCUGUGUUGGUGAAGUGCCCAAGAAUAAUUCUUUGAUUUAGUUGAUAAGAGAACUGAUUCUGAUAUCACUUGUGGUGAUUUUACCUGUUUCUUUAAUUCAUUUGUUUAUUUUUAUUAUUUAUUUAAUUAAUUAUUGCUUACCUCUAG